RNAcentral lists this unclassified non-coding RNA (376 nucleotides) under soil metagenome. RNAcentral's name for it is "partial contains 5.8S ribosomal RNA, internal transcribed spacer 2, and large subunit ribosomal RNA". The stretch from base 1 to 120 matches the Rfam family "5.8S ribosomal RNA", at positions 35 to 154 of the family's 154-position model. The record is from RNAcentral.
GAUGAAGAACGCAGCGAAAUGCGAUAAGUAAUGUGAAUUGCAGAAUUCAGUGAAUCAUCGAAUCUUUGAACGCAUCUUGCGCUCCUUGGUAUUCUGAGGAGCAUGCCUGUUUGAGUGUCAUUAAAUUCUCAACUACACUGACUUUGAAUUGGUGUGGCUUGGAUUUGGGGGGAAAAUUGUUGUGGGCUUUUUGUAUAGUCUGCUCCCCUGAAAUUGAUUAGCGGUACCUUUGUGGAACUGUCUACAGGUGUGAUAAUUAUCUACAUCUUAGACAUCUGCUGGAAUGCUGCUUUCUAAACCUUACUUGUAUUGACAAUCUUGACCUCAAAUCAGGUAGGACUACCCGCUGAACUUAAGCAUAUCAACAAGCGGAGGA